AGGUGCCAAGUACAUUUGAAGUGGUCAGCCAUCAGCUUUUUGGUGUUCGUCCUUGGAGACCAGUGGGCCUUUCAUCACCCACAGCCGUUUUAAGACAAGCUGUUUUGAGAAGACACGAAGGGCCUGAGGAGAGUCCCCUCCCUAACAGCCAUCUGGAUAGUCAAGGGCGGCAGGAUGAUGGAUUUCGUACAGAUGGCAGCUGCUCCCCAUCUGCAAGCGGCCACUAGCAGGGAGAGGAGCAAAGCCAAACCCUGCUUCCCAGCUUGACGGUUCUGGAACCUUCUCCCAGAAGCCUGAUAUUCCUGGGGCUCAGAAGACGAUGUCGCCAAAUGAAGGCUUCGAAGGCUCA
Long non-coding RNA from Mastomys coucha (southern multimammate mouse), 349 nucleotides. RefSeq lists it as uncharacterized. The transcript is spliced from 3 exons. Lineage: Eukaryota; Metazoa; Chordata; Mammalia; Rodentia; Muridae. The record is from RefSeq and is a predicted model, not a curated record.